GCCUACGACCAUAUCACCCAGAAUGCGCCCGAUCUCGUCUGAUCUCGGAAGCUAAGCAGGGUCGAGCUUGGAUAGUACUUGGAUGGGAGACUGCCUGGGAAUACCAGGUGUUGUAGGCU
Molecule: ribosomal RNA, 119 nt
Organism: Petromyzon marinus (sea lamprey)
Lineage: Eukaryota; Metazoa; Chordata; Hyperoartia; Petromyzontiformes; Petromyzontidae
Source: Ensembl